UAGAGGCUGCUCCAGAUGGUAGCAAGGUGUCUGUAGGUAAUUCCCCUGUCUCAUACAUGUGAGGCAGAGAGCAUAUUUUCACAGAGCCUUGAAAUAGGCAUUAGCAGAGAAAUGACUUAGCUGAUCAUGCACUACGUAAGUAUGACUGCUUCCCAAGACCAAACAUCAGACAGAGCGUCACACCAGGAAAGGGCCAAAACUACUGUGUCAGUAUUGGAGAGCAUGGUUAAUAGCAUCAGCACUGUGUAGAAAGCAUCCACUUACAUUAUGUUACUGAAACUGCAUUGUCACAGAAUUAGUGAGUAAGAAAACUAGAGAUUCCUAUGAUUCCAAAUAUCUUUCUUCCAAAAGGGAAAACUUCUUGUUUGGUGACUGCUGACACUUUUCAG
Molecule: long non-coding RNA, 389 nt
Filed under: Pan troglodytes (chimpanzee)
Lineage: Eukaryota; Metazoa; Chordata; Mammalia; Primates; Hominidae
Description: long non-coding RNA NONPTRT004515
Source: RNAcentral